UUAAACGGCCGCGGUACUCUAACCGUGCAAAGGUAGCACAAUCACUUGUCCUCUAAAUAAGGACUAGAAUCAACGGCAUCACGAGGGUCUUACUGUCUCCUUUUUCCAAUCAGUGAAACUGAUCUUCCCGUGAAGAAGCGGGAAUAACUUUAUAAGACGAGAAGACCCCAUGGAGCUUCAAACUCAUCAGUUACCCUAUGCAAAUUACACGACAAUUUAGGGGGUUAUCUGCCAGUUUUGGGUUGGGGUGACCACGGAGAAUAGCAUAACCUCCGCAAUGAAAAAGAAUAACAUCUUUAUCUGAGAGCCACACCUCUAAGAAUUAAAAAAUUAACAUAUAAUGUUCCGAUACUUUGUAUUCGAUCAAUGAACCAAGUUACCCUGGGGAUAACAGCGCCAUCCACUUUGAGAGUUCAUAUCGACAAGUGGGUUUACGACCUCGAUGUUGGAUCAGGGUAUCCCAGUGGUGCAGCCGCUACUAAAGGUUCGUUUGUUCAACGAUUAAAACCCUACGUGAUCUGA
RNAcentral lists this ribosomal RNA (522 nucleotides) under Ptychadena cf. aequiplicata DMP-2017. RNAcentral's name for it is "partial 16S ribosomal RNA". It matches the Rfam family "Bacterial large subunit ribosomal RNA", at positions 1923 to 2608 of the family's 2925-position model. The record is from RNAcentral. Lineage: Eukaryota; Metazoa; Chordata; Amphibia; Anura; Ptychadenidae.